CCUCAGACUCACCUGGGUGACAUGUCAACCAGGAAGCUGCGUGAGAAAUUUUAUGCGUUUGUUGUUCCUCAUUUGUGAUCUGGGCCUCGUCGAGCAGAAAGGUGGGACGGGGUCAUCGCACUUUACUCUUCACUGCCGAGUGUGUUUGCACUGCAGGUUUUUGUGGGAGAAGAGGAAGUGGCGGUGCAGGAAGUCAACAAGUGACUCCUUAAACAUGCUGGAUCCAGGAGCGAGUGAGACCACAGGCCUCAGCCACAUUUAUGAAGUACAAGGAUUCAUCCAGGCAAGCGUGCAGAGGAACAACACGGUGAAAGAGCUGCUAAUGAUGAAACGCCAGGAGUGGAACUGCUCAGACGAGGACAACCACAUGGAGCAGAAUUUUAAAUUUGCAGAACCUGAACCCUUUGCCAGCGACGCGAGUCCUUACCAGUUGGGCCUUCACGUACCAGUAAACCAAAACACCCCC
Hippoglossus stenolepis (Pacific halibut) is the source of this 466-nucleotide long non-coding RNA. RefSeq lists it as uncharacterized. The transcript is spliced from 3 exons. The record is from RefSeq and is a predicted model, not a curated record. NCBI's taxonomy places the organism in Eukaryota, Metazoa, Chordata, Actinopteri, Pleuronectiformes, Pleuronectidae.